Molecule: unclassified non-coding RNA, 386 nt
Filed under: soil metagenome
Description: partial contains 5.8S ribosomal RNA, internal transcribed spacer 2, and large subunit ribosomal RNA
Rfam family: 5.8S ribosomal RNA (bases 1-120)
Source: RNAcentral
GAUGAAGAACGUAGCGAAAUGCGAUAAGUAAUGUGAAUUGCAGAAUUCAGUGAAUCAUCGAAUCUUUGAACGCACCUUGCACCCUUUGGAAUUCCAAAGGGUAUGCUCGUUUGAGUGUCAUUGUACUCUCACACUCUCCGAUCCUUUGGAUUUGGGGAGCGGUGGACUUGGGUGUUUGCUGCUUUCAUUGUGGCUCACCUCAAAUGUGUCAGUGCAUCUCUUGAUUGGACAUAGUACGGCGUGAUAAGUGUCUUCGCCGGCACCUCACUAGAGGGUGGCUGACCGGGAGCUCUGUGCUUCAAACCGUCUUCGGACAACAACUGACAACUUGACCUCAAAUCGAGUAGGACCACCCGCUGAACUUAAGCAUAUCAAUAAGCGGAGGA